GGACGAACGCUGGCGGCGUGCCUAAUACAUGCAAGUCGAACGAACUCUGGUAUUGAUUGGUGCUUGCAUCAUGAUUUACAUUUGAGUGAGUGGCGAACUGGUGAGUAACACGUGGGAAACCUGCCCAGAAGCGGGGGAUAACACCUGGAAACAGAUGCUAAUACCGCAUAACAACUCGGACCGCAUGGUCCGAGUUUGAAAGAUGGCUUCGGCUAUCACUUUUGGAUGGUCCCGCGGCGUAUUAGCUAGAUGGUGGGGUAACGGCUCACCAUGGCAAUGAUACGUAGCCGACCUGAGAGGGUAAUCGGCCACAUUGGGACUGAGACACGGCCCAAACUCCUACGGGAGGCAGCAGUAGGGAAUCUUCCACAAUGGACGAAAGUCUGAUGGAGCAACGCCGCGUGAGUGAAGAAGGGUUUCGGCUCGUAAAACUCUGUUGUUAAAGAAGAACAUAUCUGAGAGUAACUGUUCAGGUAUUGACGGUAUUUAACCAGAAAGCCACGGCUAACUACGUGCCAGCAGCCGCGGUAAUACGUAGGUGGCAAGCGUUGUCCGGAUUUAUUGGGCGUAAAGCGAGCGCAGGCGGUUUUUUAAGUCUGAUGUGAAAGCCUUCGGCUCAACCGAAGAAGUGCAUCGGAAACUGGGAAACUUGAGUGCAGAGAGGACAGUGGGACUCCAUGUGUAGCAGUGAAAUGCGUAGAUAUAUGGAAGAACACCCAGUGGCGAAGGCGGCUGUCUGGUCUGUAACUGACGCUGAGGCUCGAAAGUAUGGGUAGCAAACAGGAUUAGAUACCCUGGUAGUCCAUACCGUAAACGAUGAAUGCUAAGUGUUGGAGGGUUUCCGCCCUUCAGUGCUGCAGCUAACGCAUUAAGCAUUCCGCCUGGGGAGUACGGCCGCAAGGCUGAAACUCAAAGGAAUUGACGGGGGCCCGCACAAGCGGUGGAGCAUGUGGUUUAAUUCGAAGCUACGCGAAGAACCUUACCAGGUCUUGACAUACUAUGCAAAUCUAAGAGAUUAGACGUUCCCUUCGGGGACAUGGAUACAGGUGGUGCAUGGUUGUCGUCAGCUCGUGUCGUGAGAUGUUGGGUUAAGUCCCGCAACGAGCGCAACCCUUAUUACUAGUUGCCAGCAUUUAGUUGGGCACUCUAGUAAGACUGCCGGUGACAAACCGGAGGAAGGUGGGGAUGACGUCAAAUCAGCAUGCCCCUUAUGACCUGGGCUACACACGUGCUACAAUGGUCGGUACAACGAGUUGCGAACCCGCGAGGGUAAGCUAAUCUCUUAAAGCCGAUCUCAGUUCGGAUUGUAGGCUGCAACUCGCCUACAUGUCGCCGGAAUCGCUAGUAAUCGCGGAUCAGCACGCCGCGGUGAAUACGUUCCCGGGCCUUG
RNAcentral lists this ribosomal RNA (1390 nucleotides) under uncultured Lactobacillus sp. RNAcentral describes it as "bacterial SSU rRNA". It matches the Rfam family "Bacterial small subunit ribosomal RNA", at positions 27 to 1383 of the family's 1533-position model. Lineage: Bacteria; Bacillati; Bacillota; Bacilli; Lactobacillales; Lactobacillaceae. The record is from RNAcentral.